ACUGCUCAGUAACACGUGGAUAACCUGCCCUUGGGUCCGGCAUAACCCCGGGAAACUGGGGAUAAUUCCGGAUAACGCACAUAUGCUGGAAUGCUUUAUGCGUAAAAUGGAUUCGUCUGCCCAAGGAUGGGUCUGCGGCCUAUCAGGUAGUAGUGGGUGUAAUGUACCUACUAGCCAACAACGGGUACGGGUUGUGAGAGCAAGAGCCCGGAGAUGGAUUCUGAGACAUGAAUCCAGGCCCUACGGGGCGCAGCAGGCGCGAAAACUUUACAAUGCGGGAAACCGUGAUAAGGGGACACCGAGUGCCAGCAUCAUAUGCUGGCUGUCCAGGUGUGUAAAAUACACCUGUUAGCAAGGGCCGGGCAAGACCGGUGCCAGCCGCCGCGGUAACACCGGUGGCCCGAGUGGUGAUCGUGAUUAUUGGGUCUAAAGGGUCCGUAGCCGGUUUGGUCAGUCCUCCGGGAAAUCUGACGGCUCAACCGUUAGGCUUUCGGGGGAUACUGCCAGGCUUGGAACCGGGAGAGGUAAGAGGUACUACAGGGGUAGGAGUGAAAUCUUGUAAUCCCUGUGAGACCACCUGUGGCGAAGGCGUCUUACCAGAACGGGUUCGACGGUGAGGGACGAAAGCUGGGGGCACGAACCGGAUUAGAUACCCGGGUAGUCCCAGCCGUAAACGAUGCUCGCUAGGUGUCAGGCAUGGCGCGACCGUGUCUGGUGCCGCAGGGAAGCCGUGAAGCGAGCCACCUGGGAAGUACGGCCGCAAGGCUGAAACUUAAAGGAAUUGGCGGGGGAGCAC
Molecule: ribosomal RNA, 796 nt
Filed under: uncultured archaeon
Lineage: Archaea
Description: bacterial SSU rRNA
Rfam family: Archaeal small subunit ribosomal RNA
Source: RNAcentral